AGAGAGGAGAAAGGAGAAAGAGCAGGCAGAGCCCCUCCCAGGGCUCCGGGAGAGCCGGAGAGAGGCUUGGCACACGGGCCUGGAGGGACAGCACAAGGAGAAUGGCUUCCUUCUGCCAGAGGAUCUCGGGGAAGAAAUCCUUCCCUGACAGGGUGGCAGGCUCUGGCACAGGGUGCCCAGAGCGGCUGCGGCUGCCCCUGGGUCCCUGGAAGCGCCCAAGGCCAGGCUGGACGGGGCUUGGAGCAGCCUGGGACAGUGGAAGGGGUCCCUGCCGUGGCAGGUUGAUGGGACUGGACAAGUUUUAAGGUCCGUUCCAAGGCUGACAAGCUGUAGCAUUUAUCUGACAACAAGAAAUGAAGACAGUGAUUGCAAGAUACAUAAAAAUAGAUCUGGCCGGAAUGGUUGGUGCCUCAUAUAUUUGUGUUUGCACUGUCAGAUGCACCUGUGCCAAGCUUUGUGCCAUUUUAAAUUGUUUGUAUAUUUUAAAAUAUUAUAUUAUGUUAUGUUAUAUAUUAAAAUGUUUAUGUAUUAAAAUAUAUUAUAAUUAUAUUUUUAUAUUGAAAAUGUUUCUAUAUUUUGAAGUAAAUCCCAGUGCAUAUCAGCCCACGUUUCUCCACACCUGGCUGGCCGUGCAGGCUGCUGCCAGUGUUCUCUCACCUGUCAGUGCAGGUGCGGGGCCUGUGGGCAGCAUUGAGGGGAAAUACAAGGAGGAUUUUUUUUUUCAGUAAUCUCACACAGACCUGCUAAACUUUAGGAAUGUUACUACUCAUUUUUAGAGAAUUACAGAAACACCUUCUGUGGCUGAGAAUCUUUUUUGCACAGUAGCCUUAAUAAACAGAGUAUGUACCAUACAGAAAGUCUACGAAAUGCACGCUGAAGCUUUUGAGCAUGAAAUGCAGGUGCUUGCUGAGGUCCUUGCACCUUUACAGUGCUGUUUAUGUGUGAAGGGUGCAAGGACCAACUCAAGAGCUUUAUUUUCUUUGCCUAAAGUUGUAAACCUAUUUACAAACAUUUGAUGAAAAGGCUGUAACAUACAUUAUUUAUCUUAGUUACAGAAUGCAAGCUCCUAGCUUUUCUUUUUUGCAAGAUUUUUCUCUUUUUCCUUGGAGGAAGAAUCACUAAUGUACUGAAUUCAUAUCCUCGGUAUUCUGCUGGCUGGUAUCUGUCUUGUGUAAUUUACUACUUAGUGAAUUUAGAGCUCUGAAUAGAUAUAUUUGCCUGUCCUUUUUCCUUUGAAGUUGCAGGCCAUGCCAAAACAACAGCUGGAACAUUCUACUGAAGUGUUUGUGUAGAAUAACAAUGGAAAGUUUUUUUUUCACUCCUAAAUUUGCAAUGAAAACAAUCGUGUGUACUA
Vidua macroura (Pin-tailed whydah) is the source of this 1354-nucleotide long non-coding RNA. RefSeq lists it as uncharacterized. The record is from RefSeq and is a predicted model, not a curated record. The transcript is spliced from 2 exons. Lineage: Eukaryota; Metazoa; Chordata; Aves; Passeriformes; Viduidae.